GCGGAUGUGGCGGAAUGGCAGACGCGCUAGACUUAGGAUCUAGUUCCGUAAGGAGUGAAGGUUCAAGUCCUUUCAUCCGCA
RNAcentral lists this transfer RNA (81 nucleotides) under Merismopedia glauca CCAP 1448/3. It matches the Rfam family "tRNA". From Rfam's summary of the family: Transfer RNA (tRNA) molecules are approximately 80 nucleotides in length. Their secondary structure includes four short double-helical elements and three loops (D, anti-codon, and T loops). Further hydrogen bonds mediate the characteristic L-shaped molecular structure. tRNAs have two regions of fundamental functional importance: the anti-codon, which is responsible for specific mRNA codon recognition, and the 3' end, to which the tRNAs corresponding amino acid is attached (by aminoacyl-tRNA synthetases). tRNAs cope with the degeneracy of the genetic code in two manners: having more than one tRNA (with a specific anti-codon) for a particular amino acid; and 'wobble' base-pairing, i.e. permitting non-standard base-pairing at the 3rd anti-codon position. Lineage: Bacteria; Bacillati; Cyanobacteriota; Cyanophyceae; Synechococcales; Merismopediaceae. The record is from Rfam by way of RNAcentral.